This 69-nucleotide transfer RNA is filed under the name Pachypanchax playfairii (golden panchax). Its description in RNAcentral is "tRNA-Asp". It matches the Rfam family "tRNA". Rfam says of the family: Transfer RNA (tRNA) molecules are approximately 80 nucleotides in length. Their secondary structure includes four short double-helical elements and three loops (D, anti-codon, and T loops). Further hydrogen bonds mediate the characteristic L-shaped molecular structure. tRNAs have two regions of fundamental functional importance: the anti-codon, which is responsible for specific mRNA codon recognition, and the 3' end, to which the tRNAs corresponding amino acid is attached (by aminoacyl-tRNA synthetases). tRNAs cope with the degeneracy of the genetic code in two manners: having more than one tRNA (with a specific anti-codon) for a particular amino acid; and 'wobble' base-pairing, i.e. permitting non-standard base-pairing at the 3rd anti-codon position. Lineage: Eukaryota; Metazoa; Chordata; Actinopteri; Cyprinodontiformes; Aplocheilidae. The record is from RNAcentral.
AAGAUGUUAGUAAGAACUAUUACAUUGCUUUGUCAAGGCAAAAUUGUGAGUUAAACUCUCACACAUCUU